RNAcentral lists this long non-coding RNA (12992 nucleotides) under Gossypium barbadense (sea-island cotton). RNAcentral's name for it is "long non-coding RNA (GBAR_LNC021266)". The record is from RNAcentral. Lineage: Eukaryota; Viridiplantae; Streptophyta; Magnoliopsida; Malvales; Malvaceae.
UGUUCCCACAUAGCUUUGGUUUGCGGUCACCAUUCCUAUAUUUAUUUGUUAGCUUUGAUUUCUCUUCCUUUUUUUUUCCCUACUUAAGUCUGCUUGAGUCUUUUUCUUUUCUUUAUAUGUACUUAAUGUAAUAUUAGAAGCCAAGGCAGGACGAUGCUUUUCUAUUGUAAAAUUCAUGACUUUGUUGUCUAUGUUCAUUUCUACUCUUCAGUUUACUUAUUGUUUGAUAUAUAUUUGAAUAUGGAGAAUAUAAUCUUUUUUAUAUAUACAUAUUUUAGAAAAAAUUGAAUAUAUGUAUGUUGGACACAUUUCCCGUUUCAACAUAUUUCUUUAUUUUAUGCAAGUCGGUUGGUAUUUAACCAAAUAAAUUUAAUUACUAUAGUUCGGGUUAAAACUAAAAUUUUAAAAUUUAAAAAAAAUACAGAAAUUGAAGUUCACAAAUUGAAAAAAUAUACAUAUUAAAAUUGAUCAAAUUAAAAGUGCACCGAUUAACCUUAAUUUUUCUGUUAAUCUUUCUGUUCCCUUAAUUAAAUGUCCAUAUUUAAGUAGUUGGACACAUAUUCAAGUUUGAUAUUCGUCUUAAAUUCGUGCAAUACGGUUAAAUAUUGGUGAACUAGUAGUUGAUGAAGUAUUAUAUACAUUCUUGGAAUAUUGCUCCAUUCAACGAAUUUAUUUCAGCUCCAUAUGCUUAAAACACCUCCCGUUUCUACCAUAUUUCCUCAUUUUGCGUAACCCGAUUAGUAUACAACGUAAUCUUUUUCAUUGUUUAGUAUCCUAAUCCUUAACUCAAUAAUCUUUAUUAUGAUUGGGUCCAAUGAUUGCAAUUCAUCUUGACACUUCCGAAGCAGAAAACAAAAAAAAAUCAAAUUUCACCGGUUAAUUACAUGUCAACACAUAUAAUCCAUGAUAUCUUUGUCUUGAAGAUUAAAUAAGAUAAACUAAAUCACAAAGAAAAUAAACGAGUAAACAUAAUCUAGAAAUUCCAAAUUACAUUAUCUAACAAAAAUUCAAUAAGAAAUAAAUGGCUGCAUUUCAUUCUGUAGGGAUUUGCUCUUAUAUCUACCAACAAUAGCUUGAUGAUAAUAAGCUGAAAAAGAAAAGGAGUCCAAGGGAAUUGAAGAUUCUAAAUUCAGCUAGCUUAAUUGAUUCAAUAUUUCAAAUACACUUAAUUAAUACAAAUGAUAUUUAUCAAUAAAUCUAAAAUUUGCAUCCCUCAUUUGCAACCUACCUUCUAAAAACUGCCAGAAUGAAAUUAAACUAUCUUAUUUCAAUUCUCUUCAAAUUUAAGUUUACAACUUCUCUUUUUGGGUUUCCAUUUGUUUCUACUUUUAAAGCAAACAUUGAUUCAAGAAAUAUUUAUUUCAUUUGGCUUAUUUUCUUUUCUAUUUUUAUGCUACUCAGAUUCGAUGAAAAUAUUGAACAUAAUAUGUUUGCAAGUUAAAUGUCCGAGUCUUGAAAAAUAUAAGAUCGAAACGGAAGAAAUAUCCUAAAACCGAUGCUUAAAGAUUUAUAAAAUUUAGUAUAAUCAUGUUGUUUUCAUUAUUAUAAAACUCAAUGUUAAAAUGUUUAUGAUUCGAAUUAUGAUACGAGAGAAAAAUAGCUAACUAUUUUAACUUCAAGGAGUGAGAAAAUCUCAAUAUCUAAGAUAUGAAUGUUGUAAGGUACCACUCAAUCACAGCCACAUUUGUUAGUAUGGCUACUUUGGAUGAAAAGUUCUAUUCCAAGUUAUAUAUACACACAGAAAUACACAUGAAGUGGAUUAAUGGUGUAUUAUUUAAGUAAAGGAAAACGGUUCUGACUAAAAGAAAGAGUUGAAAUCUUGAACCUCCAAAUAUUGGGUAACCGCUGGUGUUAAAAAGUGCAUAAAGGUCCGCGCUUAUCUACAAGAAACAAUGGAGGAAUCACAUACGCUGUUUAUAUUCUUUUUUUUUUGCACCACAAGCAAUCCGAAACCAUAAACAAAGGAAUACUUUUUUGCCUUUUUUAAAUGGUUUUCUUCUUUCUUUUCCGCCUUUUAAAUUCUUCAUUCAAUUCAAGUUCAAGAAACCAUACUAAAUAUAUAUAUAUAUAUGUUUAUAUUCGCUUUUCUUGCUACACAAGCAAGCCAAAACCAUAAACAAAGCAUGCAUUUUUUUUCCUUUUUUUAAUGGUUUUCUUGAUUCUUUGUUGUUUUUAAAAUUCUUCAUUCAAUUCAAGUUCAAGAAACCAUAUUAAAAAAUAUAUUUAUAUUCGCUUUUUUUGCUACACAAGCAAGCUGAAACCAUAAACAAAGGCAUACCUUUUUCUCCUUUUUUAAAUGGCUUUUUUUUUUGUUUCUUUGUUGUUUUUUAGAUUCUUCGUUCAGUUCAAGUUCAAGAAACCAUACUAAAUAUAUGUGUUUAUAUUCACUUUUCUUGCUACAUAAGCAAGCCGAAACCAUAAACAAAGGCAAACCUUUUUUUUCCCUUUUUAUCUUGCUGCUUUUUAGAUUUUUUAUUCAAUUCCUAAGUUUAAGAAACCAUACUAUAUAUAUAUAUAUAUGUGUUUAUAUUCACUUUUCUUGCUACACAAGUCAACCGAAACCAUAAACAAAGGCAUAACUUUUUCGUUUUUUUUAAAAUGAUUUUUUGCUUUGCUACUUUUUUAAAUUUUUAUUCAAUUUAAGUUUAAAAAACCCUACUAUAUAUAUACACAUCUAGAGAGACAUCAUCAUCCUCAAGGAGUCAGUGAUUAAGCAUGAACUUGAUGGGAAGGCCACAAGUCGGUGAUGGUCAAAUCAUGAGUUGAUUAUGAUUAGUUUCAUAUUAUGGAAAAAAGAUGCUAGUUAAAAUUAGUUAGUUGACCGCUGCAUUUUGAGGUUGAGAGUUUAGUGAAACGAUACGUUUUGAUGUUUAAUGAAAACGGUGCGUAUUGAAAGUUUGAUACAACUAGUCGAGUAACAAGCGUGUAACAAACUUUGUAACUACCAAUUCUGAAGGCUUACAGGAACUGCCAACUUUUAAUUUUAUUUGUAAUCCUCACUUUAAAAAAAUAUUCCAAAUAUGCUUCCUCACCUUAUCAUUUUUGUUAUUUUUCAAGUGCCCUUACCAUUUUAUAUUUUUAAUGGGUAUAUUAUAAAAAUAGUCACCUAGUUAUUGCUUUCAUUCUAUUUUAUUCACUAAAUUAUUAAUUUUUUCGAUUUAAUUACUAAAUUUUUUUAAAUUAAAUAUUUUGAUCACUCUCCCAUUAAUUAUCAUUAGAUAAGUGAUAGGAAGUUAAUGUGAGCUUUUUUUAUUAGUCUAAUAAUAAAUUUAAUCAUCUAAUGUUUACACAUUCUAUUAAAUUGAUUUUAAAUAUAAAAUGUUCAAUAGAUUUAAACCUAAAUGUUUACAAAAUCUAUUGUUAUAGUUCAAAUCCUAAAAAUUUCAAUAAAUUUAAUCCUCAAAAUUUAUAAAUUUAAUUUUAAUUCUAACUCAUGGAUGAAUUAAGCAAAUUAAAUCAAAUCAAAUCAAUAGAACAAGGAAUUUAAUUAAAAAGAAAUUCUUCACAUGCAUCAAGGAGGGACUUCCUCUGGUGGUAUCAAGGGGAUUGAUAGAAACAGCUCAGGCUCGAACAAGAACUUCAUUGGGCUUAAGAUCUGGAACAGACACAUCGGAUCAAAGCUGCAACACCUCAGGUCCACCGAACCGAGCCAGCAAUACCGCACUGCAACUGUUGACAUAGCACCGAAUUGAACCCACUUUCAAUGAUAUGAUAACUCCAUAAAGGGUUUGGGUUUUAAGCUUUGAAAGUUCCCCUUUUUCUUCUCAAAUUUUCUGAACUUCAGCUCCUUCCUUUUGUUAAAUGAAGGAAAAGCAAAGGAGAGACACCGAAGUGUUUUAAUCCACAUAGAAAAUAGUGAUUGUGACUUGUGAGUGUUGGCCUGGGGGCUUGGAAGAAGAAGAUGAAUAUUGCAUAAUCGAUUUUUAAUUGCUUAUUACAUUCAUAAUUAAAUAAAUAAACAUUUCUAACCUUAUCAAUUAAAUCAAGUUAGAAUGUUCAACUUGAUUUUUGUUUGUUAUAAGGAUCAUAUAUUAUAAAAUUUAAUUUAAUUUUAAUAAUUAUAUAAUACUAUUUUUAAUUAUAUCAUCUGAUACCAUCUUGAGGGCUAAAUUUAGAAUUAAAAUUAAAUUGACAAAUUUUAGAAAUUUUGAGCUUAAAUUUAUUUUUAUUUUUAGGAAUUUGAAAUAAAAUGAGAAAUUUUGUAAAUAUUGAGAAUUAAAUUUGUUGGAAAUUUUAUAUUUAGAAUCAAAUGGUAGAAUGUCUAAACAUUAGGGGGCUAAAUUUAUUAUUAGACCAAUAAAAAACAAGUUCAUAUCAAUUUCCCGUCACUCAUCUAAUUGCAACUAAUGAGGAAGUGAUCAAAAUAUUUAACUUCUAAAAAUUUAAUGACUAAAUAAAAAAAUUAACAUUUAAGUGAUCAAAAUAGAAUGAAAUCAAUAAUUUGAUGAGCAUUUUUGUACUGUACCCUAUCUUAAUCCAUCUCAGAACAAAAUUUCUCCGCCUUUGCCUAAUUUCUGUGUCUUUGUCAAAUUUUAAUAGAAUUAACAUUUUUAUUUAAAAAAUAUCUUUAAUCGUUUAAUAUAUUUUUAAUAAGUAAAUGUUAAUUCCGUUAAGGGUCAGUUUGUUUACACGUAAAAAGUUAAAAAUAAAAGUUUGUUUACACGUAAAAAGUUAAAAAUAAAAAUAUUGAGUUCUAUAAUAUGAGUCUAUUGAACCGAUUCAAUCAUAAAUAUUAUUAUUAUUGGUUUAUAUAAUGGUUUGAUUUUGAAAAUAUUUGGUUUAACAUUUAGUCAUCCCUUUGAUCAAUUUUAAAUUUUAGAAAUAAUUUUGUUUUUUGUUUACAUUUAAAUGUACAGUUUCUAAUGCAUAUGUGUUACAUUUGAUUUCAAGCCAUUAAUCCUUAAUUACUUUUUAAAAUAAUACUUUCUUUUAAUUUUUAAAUAAUGUAUAAAUUUAUAAUUAUAUAAGAAAGUAAACUAUAAUAUUAAAUUUUUAAAAAUUAAGUAAAACAACAUGCAAUAAUUUUCAUAAUAAUUAAUGAUAAAUAAGAAAAAUAUUCACAAUUAUAAAACAAACCGUUUAAGAGUAUAUAAACUACUUAUACAAAAUUCUUUUAAAUUAAAGAUGAAAUUAUAUAUAUAUAAAUAACAAAUGAAAUUAUAUAUACAAAUUUAUAAGUGAAAAAUAUACAUAAUUAUAUUCAUAAAAAGUACAUAUGACAAUAUACAAACAAGGCUAUAAAGUAAUUCAUAGGAACAUGGCUUUCUUGUUUGUAUUCUCAUUCGAUUAUGAAUAUACCUUUCUUGUUAGUAUUCUCAUUAUUUUUUUAACAUACCUUUCUUGCUUGUAUUCUCAUUCUAUUAUGAAUAUACCUUUCUUGUUCGUAUUCUCAUUAUUUUUUUGCUUGCAAUUGUUUUUAUAAUUAAGUACUGGUUCUUGCAAUUGUUUUCCCAGCAAGAUUGCGGCACUCACAUCUUGAAAUUCAAAUUCCAGAUUUUAAAGAAUUUUCUGAGCUCGAUCGCUAUUAUGGCUUGGUUUGCUGUGACAUCUGCAGUGACAACAAUUGGCAACCUGCUAACUCAGGAAGCCAUAUACCUAUGGGGCGUGGAGGAGCAAGUUGAUCGUCUGCAAACAGAGCUCAAAUGGAUGCAAAGCUCCUUAAUGGUGGCAGAGACAAAACAAUCAACGGAUGAGAGGAUUCGUCUUUGGGUUGCUGAAAUCAGAGAGCUUGCUUAUGAUGCUGAGGAUAUUGUUGAGGAAUUUGCUCUCAAGAUUGGAUCCAAAAACAAAAGUGGCCUUCCGAGUUGUAUUAAAAGAUCAGCCUGCUGUUUGAAAGAGGGAUGGGUGCUCCAUGAAACCAGGUCAAAGAUCGAGAAAAUCAUAGAAAGAAUCAGCGACUUGGUCCGAUGACUACAGGCCUACGGCGUAAAGGAAUUAAAUCCCAGAGGAGAAGGAUCAAGUUUUUCAACUGAAAUACGAGAAUCAAGGCGGCCUUAUCCACAUAUUAUGGAUGAUAAUAUUGUUGGACUAGUUGAUGAUACCAAGGGAUUGGUCGAAGUUCUUACGAAGGAAAGUGGAUGCAAGGUUGUUACAAUAUGGGGCAUGGGUGGUCUGGGAAAGACCACUCUCGCCAAGAAAAUAUAUCACCAUCGUGAGGUUAUUGAUUAUUUCGAUCACUUGGCUUUUGUAUAUGUUUCUCAACCAUGCCGGAAAAGAAAUGUUUGGGAAGACAUUUUAUCUGGUUUCAAAACUUUAGAUAAAGAGGACAGGAAGAUAACAGAUGCAGAAUUAGCAGGGAAGUUGAGUAAAACUUUGAAGGAUAAAAAGUGUCUGGUGAUACUUGAUGAUGUUUGGACCAGUGAAGCUUGGGAUAGUCUAAAACCUGCCUUUCCAGUUGAUAGCAAAAGCAAGAUAUUGCUCACCUCUAGAAACAGGGGGAUAGUUCCAUAUGCUGACAUAAGAGGUAAAAUUUUCUUAAUUAGGUAAAAUUGAAAACUCUUAUUCCGUUUAUGGAAAAUAACAAUGUAUAUUAUUUCAGAGUUGAAGUGCCUAAACGAUCAACAAAGUUGGGAAUUGUUUCAAAAGAUUGUAUUUCCUCAAACAGGUAAAUAUAGAUAUAGCAAAAUUCUUUUUAUAUGCUAAAUUUAUUUUUCAUUUUUAAAUUUUUUUGACAAUAAUUAAAAUUAAAAAUAUAUAAAAUCUAUUUUAUUUAAAAAUUUCAAAACCUUAAUGUGAAAUAAAUAAAAGAAAUCAAGGCUUUGUAGUUUAUCAAUUAAUGGUACACGCACAUAAAUAUAAUUAAUAGGUAAAUUUAUUAUCUUUUAUAUUAUAAUUUUUUAAUAACUUCGCUAUUAUUUACCGGGAAUAAAUUAUAUUAGGAUUAUCUUAAAAAAAAAUAUAGUUUUUAGGCACUAAUAAAAUAGUGUCACAUCGUUAAUUUUUAAGAUAACAAAAAAUUGUUAUACACUCAUUUAUAUUUAAUAUUUUCUCUAACUUAAUUUAAUUUUAAUUAAAUUAUUUAAAAUAAUUAAUUUUUUAAAUUAUAAACAAACAUCUUCUCUUCUUUUACAAAUUUUAAUCAUUUUGUUUUUUUUCAUAAGUUAAUAUUUUUUAUUUUUGUACAACUUAAUAUUUUUUAUUUUUGUACAUCCAAUUUAAAAAAAAUAGUAAUUUUUGUGCAAUAAUUUUCAUGUCAUUGAUACAUAAUUUUGAUAAUUAUUUUAUCAUGAACCCAAAAUCCAGAACCUUGAACUCGAACCCUGAACCUAAACCUUGAAUCCCGAAUCUCGCAGUUCAAGGUUUGGAUUUGAGAUUUAAAGUUCAGAAUUUGAGGUUCAAGUUUAAAGUUUAAGGGUUCAGGGUAAAAAAAUUACCAAAAUUAUGUGUUAAUGACAUGGAAAAAAUUGUUGAAAUGUUAUUAAAUAAUCGAAAAUGGACAAUAAAUAAUGUGAUCAGAAAGGUCCAUAAAAUAAUUUCUCUAUGGAUGAGUGUAUAAUAAUAAUUCAUAUGUUUAAAAUUUGAUGAUGUGACAAAAAAAAUUUAAUUUUUAGGAUGAUCCUAAUGUUACUUUAUUGGACUAUAUGUUUGUUUAGUUAGGUUUUUUACCUAAAUAGGAUAAGAAAAAAAAACUACUGAAAUAGUGUGAUUUUUCAGUACAAUAAUUUUACUCUUUCACACGCUUCCGCGCAACAAUUGGUACCAGAGCCAGGUUCGUACUUGGCGAAUACGAUCGUUUACGAUACUAUUCACGUAUACAACACUAUUUACGUAUACGAUACUAUUCACAUAUACGGCACUAUUCACAUAUACAGUACUGUUCACGUAUACAGUAGUUGGGAUUGAGGAGAAAAAUGGCAGCAGCAUCGUCAUCAGCAAGGACUACUGUGACAAAUGCAAAAUUUGAAGUAGAGAAAUUUGACGGUACCAAUAAUUUUGGUAUGUGGCAAUGUGAGAUCCUGGAUGUCUUAUGUCAACAAGAGCUAGAUAUAGCCCUUGAAGAAAAACCUGACAAGAUGGAUGACAAGGAGUGAGCCAAGAUCAAUAGACAGGCGUGUGGUACAAUCCGCCUAUGUUUGGCCAAAGAGCAGAAGUACUCUGUCAUGAGGGAGACAUCAGCGAAGAAGUUAUGGGAUACACUGUAAGAAAAGUUUCUGACGAAAAGUCUUGAAAAUAGGCUUUAUAUGAAAAAGAAACUUUAUCGAUUCACGUAUGCACCCGGUAUGUCGAUGAAUGACCAUGUGAACUCAUUCAAUAAAAUUUUAGCAGACUUACUAAAUUUGGAUGAGAAAUUUGAAGAUGAAGACAAGGCAUUAUUGUUGUUGAAUUCCCUUCUUGAUGAAUAUGAUCAUCUUACCACCACAUUGCUUCAUGGGAAGGACACGAUCACAUUUGAUGCAGUUUGUAGUGCGUUGUAUAGAUCUGAGACUCGAAAGAAAGAUAAAAGAGAUCACAGAGAUACAACCGCAGAAGUCUUAACAGUAAGAGGUCGUUCACACAGCAGCAAAUCUAGUAGAAGGGGAAAGUCCAAAGGGAGACCCGCCAAAGAUGAAUGUGCCUUUUGCCGUAAAAAAGGGCAUUGGAAAAAGAAUUGUCCUAAGCUACAAAAGGGCAAGGCUAUUUCUAAUGCAUGUGUAGCGGAGCAUGAUGAGGAGUCAGACUUUAGCUUGGUUGGCAUGGCAAUGGCAUGUCAAACGGAUGAGUGGAUUUUGGAUUCAGGAUGUACUUACCAUAUGUGUCCUAAUAAGGACUGGUUUUCUAGUCUUAAAGAGCUAGAAGGUGGAAUUGUUCUUAUGGGCAAUGAUAGUGCUUGUAAGACAAUGGGAGUAGGUACAGUCCAAUUGAAGAAUCACGAAGGCUCAAUCCAAGUCUUGACAGAUGUUCGCUACGUACCUAGCCUGAAGAAAAAUCUCAUCUCAUUAGGUGCCCUAGAAUCUAAAGGGCUCACAAUCACUUUGAGAGAUGGAUUACUAAAAGUAGUAGCUGGGCAACUGACGGUGAUGAAAGGCACAAGAAGAAAUAACUUGUAUUUUUUAAAUGGAAGUACAGUUAUUGGAUCAACAUCAACAGUUUCUACAAAAGAUGUAGAUUCAGAGGCUACCAGAUUAUGGCAUAUGCGAUUGGGACAUGCUGGUGAAAAAGCUUUGCAGACAUUGGUGAAGCAAGGCUUAUUGAAAGGUGCAAAUUCUUGCAAAAUGGAAUUCUGUGAACAUUGUGUUCUGGGCAAGCAGAAGAGGGUAAAAUUUGGUCCAGCAAUUCACAAUACGAAAGGAAUUCUGGACUACGUUCACAGUGAUGUAUGGGGACCUACCAAAGUAGCUUCUUUGGGAGGUAUGCACUAUUUUGUUACUUUUGUUGAUGAUUAUUCAAGAAAAGUAUGGGUGUAUCUAAUGAAAAGAAAAAUUGAAGUUUUGGAUGCAUUUUUGAAAUGGAAGAAGAUGGUGGAGACUCAGACUGGUCGAAAGGUCAAACGACUUCGAUCAGAUAAUGGUACUGAGUACAAAAACGAUCCAUUUCUACAAGUAUGCCAAGAUGAGGGCAUUGUGCGAUACUUCACUGUUCGGGAUACACCACAGCAAAAUGGGGUGGCAGAACGAAUGAAUUGAACUAUACUGGAGAAAGUUCGAUGUAUGUUGUCCAAUGCUGGAUUGGGCAAAGAAUUUUGGGCUGAGGCAGUUACAUAUGGUGCCAUCUAAUUAACCGUUUGCCAUCAGCUGCAAUAAAUGGAAAAACUCCUAUGGAGAUGUGCUACUGAUUAUGAUUCUUUGCAUGUAUUUGGUUCCACUGCAUAUUAUCAUGUAAAAGAAUCUAAGUUAGACCCAAGAGCAAAGAAAGCAUUAUUCUUGGGUAUAACUGAUGGAGUAAAAGGAUAUCGUCUCUGGUGUCUUGAUACAAGGAAGAUUGUUUUCAGUAGAGAUGUGACUUUUGAUGAAUCAACUAUGUUGAAGUACAAGGAUUCACAAAAAGAUGACAAAACCAGUAGUACUUUGCAGCAGGUGGAGCUUGAAAAGGUUAACGAUGAUCCAGCUAAUAUUGAAGGGACAAAUGAUGAAGAGGUUCCUACCCAAGAACCUCUACAGCAACAAGAUUCAAUUGCAUAUAGAAGGCCAAGAAGAGAGAUUCGUAAGCCUGCUCGCUUUGAUGAUAUAGUGGCCUAUGCACUUCCAAUUACAGAUGAUGAUGUUCCUUCUACUUACACAGAAGUAAUAAGUAACCCUGAUGGUGUAAAGUGGAAGCAAGCAAUGAAUGAAGAAAUGCAGUCUCUUCAUAAAAAUAAGACCUGGGAGUUGGUGACACUACCCAAGGGAAAGAAGGCAAUUGGAUGCAAAUGGGUAUAUGCAAAGAAGGAAGGAUUUCCUGAUAAAAAUGAAAUUCGAUACAAGGCUAGAUUAGUAGCAAAGGGUUACGCUCAGAAAGAAGGAAUAGACUACAAUGAAGUGUUUUCUCCAGUUGUGAAGCAUUCGUCUAUUCGGAUUUUGCUAGCCUUGGUUGCGCAAUAUGAUCUUGAACUAGUUCAGCUUGAUGUGAAGACCACGUUUUUACACGGUGAUUUGGAAGAGGAAAUCUAUAUGACUCAGCCAGAUGGAUUCAAGGUUGCUGGAAAAGAAAAUUGGGUUUGCAAACUGACAAAGUCGCUUUAUGGAUUGAAGCAAUCUCCGAGGCAGUGGUACAAGCGAUUUGAUCAGUUCAUGAAAGGGAAAAGGUACGCAAGAAGUAAAUUUUGUUCAUUGCGUGUAUUUUCAGAAGCUACAAGAAGGAACUUUCAUAUACUUGCUCUUAUAUGUUGAUGAUAUGCUAAUAGCAUCUAAGAGCAAAGUUGAGAUUGAAAGAUUGAAGACUCAACUCAAUCUCGAGUUUGAGAUGAAAAAUCUAGGAGAAGCUAAAAAGAUUCUCGGCAUGGAAAUAUGGAGAGAUAGAGCUCAUGAUAGAGUUAGCUUGUCUCAGAAGAAGUAUUUGAAAAAGGUACUACAGCAGUUUGGCAUGAACGAGCAGACAAAACCUGUAAGUACCCCGUUGGCUUCUCAUUUCAAGCUUUCUGCACAACUAUCUCCUUCGACGAAUACGGAACGAGAAUACAUGUUGCAAGUUCCGUAUUCUAAUGCAGUGGGUAGCUUGAUGUAUGCAAUGGUGUGUACAAGACCCGACAUUUCACAGGCAGUUAGUAUAGUGAGCAGGUAUAUGCAUAAUCCUGGAAAAGGACAUUGGCAAGCUGUGAAAUGGAUUCUACGGUAUAUUCAGAAGACCGUGGAUGUUGGAUUACUGUUCAAGCAGGAUAAUACACUUGGUAAAGGUGUUAUUGGGUACGUUGAUUCUGACUAUGCCAGUGAUUUGGACAAGCGAAGAUCAACCACCGGUUAUGUGUUUACACUUGCUGGAGGACCAAUAAGUUGGAAGUCUACACUACAGUUUACAGUUGCAUUGUCAACCACAGAAGCCGAGUACAUGGCUGUAACAGAGGCUGUAAAGGAGGCUGUUUGGUUACAAGGUAUGGCUAAAACCUUGGGGUUGGUUCAGGAGCAUAUUAACGUGUAUUGUGAUAGUCAAAGUGCUAUUCAUUUAGCAAAGAAUCAAGUCUAUCAUGCACGUACAAAACAUAUCGACGUACGAUUCCAUUUUGUGCGGGAAAUUAUUGAAGAGGGGAAAAUUUGUCUUCAGAAGAUCAAGACUGCAGAUAAUCCCGCAGAUAUGAUGACCAAGGUGGUAACAGCAACCAAGUUCGAACAUUGUUUGAACUUGAUUAAUAUCCUGCAAGUUUAACAGUUGAAGAAGGAACUAUCAAGUAUUAUUGUCAAAAGCAGAAAGAAUUGUGUGAAGAUAAGAUUAUCGUAAUCAAAUCUUCAAGGUGGAGAUUAUUGGAACCCACCAUUGUUUGAAAAGUCAAAUGGGGUGGGCACCGAAAGUAGAAAGUAAUAUUGGUUGGCAAGUUGGGUUAAAAGUUGGCAUGGGAUAAUUGCAAUUUUGGUCCCUAAUUGUAUAGGGACAUUGCAAGUUGAUCCUUGAACCUCAACUAUAAAUAGGCCUAACCAUUGCUUACUUUCUUCAUCCCAUGAUUGCCAUUCUCUACUUAAGGCAUUAUUCUCUCUCUCUAUUUGUAAAUUUCACUUGUAAUUUUUGGAGUGAAAUAUAUUUGGUAGUGCCCGAGGACGUAGGCAAAAUUUGCUGAACCUCGUUAAAAUUCUGGUGUUCUUUAUUAUUUGUUUUGCAUAUUUUGUGAAUGUGAUUGUAGUGAUUUAUUGUGCUAUUAAAUUACGAUAGAGGGAUAUUCUGGCUAGGAAAGACUUGGUAUUUAAGUGAUCUUCGUGAUCUACCUCUCUUUCUUGGGAAUUGAACUUAGUGUGAUUUUUCAGUACAAUAAUUUUACUCUUUCACACGUUUCCGCACAACAAUAAUUACAUUUAUUAAAAGUCAAAGGAAGUCAUCUUUUUAGUUUUGCUUUUCAGGUAAAGACGCCAUUUUUUCACCUGCUACUAUAAUGGCGUGUGAAAGUGUGUUAUAUGGUGAGAUUUGGAAUUAUCUUCUCUCUUGUAUAUAUCUAUGGUUGUUGACUGUUUGUUGUUUUCUUCAAAUUACAAUAAAACGGUUGCAAGAUAAGGUAUUGGAAGAAUGGGAGGUGUCUGGAUUAGCAAGGUACCAAACCCCUCCUCCAUUUCUAUUUCCUUCAAUCUAAUUUAAUUACACAUUCAUUUUUGUCUUUUAAAACAUAAAAUUGCAGAUAAGGAGACGACACUGACCUUUGUUCCCACAUACCUUUGGUUUUCGGUGACCAUUCCUAUAUUUAUUUGUUAGCUUUGCUUUCUCUUUCUUUUUUUCCCUUAAGUCUGCUUGAGUCUUUUUCUUUUGUUAUAUGUACUUAAUGUAAUAUUAGAAGCCAAGGCAGGACCAUGCUUUUCUAUUGUAAAAUUCAUCACUUCGUUAUUUUAUAUUUGUAUGUUGACACAUUUCCCGUUUCAACAUAUUUCCUUAUUUUAUGCAAGUCGAUUGGUAUUCAUCAUAAA